UGUUUUAGCUACAAACACUUAUCUAAGAUGCUGUCUUCGCAGGUGCCAUGCCUACAAUGGCAAGCGUGAAGCUGUCUACACUUCAUCCCAUUGUGAAUCAUCCACAUUACGAAGAUGCAGACUUGAGGGCCCAGACAAAAAUAGUUUAUUCUACAUGUAGUCGAAAAUCUGCCAAAGAAGUAGGAGAGAAAUUGUUGGAGUUACAUGUGAAUUAUUGUGUUUUAGAAGAGGCAUGGUGUGUUGUGAGAACUAAGCCUGGUUGCAUUAUGCUUGAAAUCUGGGAUGUGGAAGACCCUUCCAAUGCAGCUAACCCUCCCUUAUGUAGUGUCCUGCUCGAAGAUGCCAGUAUUUCAGAAUAGUGUGUACAGAGUAUUGAAGGUUAACUGAGAAGGAAACUACCCAUUACACUAUGGCACAAUGCCGUGUGUCAAAAACAAUCACCCUUUGGCUUAUUUACAUUAAUAAAAAUCACAAGCUUUAAUAACAGACACUUAAAAAUAAGAUAAAAAUGGAUUGAAAGUUUUUCUGAUUACUAAAAGGUAAAUUACUUUUCUGUUCAUUGAAUGUCAGCCUUAUUAAGCUUGUCA
This 587-nucleotide long non-coding RNA is filed under the name Pan troglodytes (chimpanzee). RNAcentral's name for it is "long non-coding RNA NONPTRT015537". The record is from RNAcentral. Lineage: Eukaryota; Metazoa; Chordata; Mammalia; Primates; Hominidae.